RNAcentral lists this non-coding RNA (74 nucleotides) under uncultured Prevotella sp. RNAcentral describes it as "L13-Bacteroidia ribosomal protein leader". It matches the Rfam family "L13-Bacteroidia ribosomal protein leader". Lineage: Bacteria; Pseudomonadati; Bacteroidota; Bacteroidia; Bacteroidales; Prevotellaceae. The record is from RNAcentral.
GGGAUACACUUAGAGUCCCCUGUGCAUGGGUGUUAAUAGUGGCACUUUUGGCCGAGUGACACGGUUAGUGAAUC